AUAAUUAAAGGUUCAACAAUAUCAUUCAAGAUAAAUUAAAAUACUAAAAUAUUGUUAUACUCAAAAUGUAACGGUAUUCUUUUACAAGAGAGAAUAAUUUCAUACAUAACUCUUUUACAGUACGAAUAAUAAAAUUUUUUAAAAAAACAAGCUAACGUGAGAAUGGAUAGUGAUGGUAACCAUCAGCAGACAGUGAAGAGAAGUGAAAACUCAAAAGUGCUCUAAUGCUUUUAUAAAACCAAGUUCCGAUGGCGAGUUGAGAGACAUUAGUUGAUUGUAUUUGUACCAAAUGUAUGAAAGAAAUUGUUGUUCUUGUGGAUAUCAAGAAGAAGGGCGCAGUAAAUAAGAUUGUCAUGUUACCCUCCUAAUCUUGCAGGAUUGCCACCUUCUGCUUCUACAAUUAUAUAUGAACGAGUCAUAGACUCUAACCUGUAUAUACAAAAAUGACACCCAUACCAUAAUUUUAGUACAUUAACUAGUUGGGACUUGUCAAUCACGUUUAACCUGAACAACAGUUCCUUUGGCAGGGUAAGAUUCUGCCAGAAACAACAACAUGCUUCUUUAAAACCUUAAGAUUAUUAAUGCAAUGUAUGUACCAAAAAACCGCAAACCAUUCAAAACAUAAGCCUUAUUUAGCAUCUCUUAGUUUGAAACAUAACACUAUAAGAAAAUACUACUAACCUCAUAAGCUGCAUUCUUCUUAGUAUCUGAUAACGAGGUGUUUCCAAGUCUGAAGUUUUGUAAAUCCUUAAUUUUGUAACUGCCAAAAAAUUAUAUUCUCAUAUUUCUUGACUAAAGAAAAGAUCACAAGCUAAACCAGUUCAACAUCACACCCGUUCCAUAACAAAAACAGUCCUAGAGUAAAAUAUUAUUAUUCUCAAUAAAAUUUUAGAAGUCCUACAGAUUUUAAUAAGAAGUUUGUAAACACUCCAUCCUUCACUAAGUAGUAUAUCCAAUUGAAUUUGUUUUGAGAAAGAGUAAAGUAUCAUACAUACCUUAUGGUUACUACACUUGUUUGUUUCUACAUUGAUACCCAUAACACAAGUGCCUGAAAAAAUAAAUUCAGGUUUACUUAAACAGAAUGAACUCAUCACCAUACCGCAACAUAAAUUUGGAACAUAUGCUUAUAUAUGAUUGUGCUAAUGCAUAUCAUAAUUUUACCCUUAUAAGUUGUUGGAAUAUUUAUACUGUAAAUUUGAAAAAAAAUCCACCAUCUCAGUAAAUGCAUUGGAUAGCGUCUAGAAGUGUUUAGGAGUUAUAACUUUAUCCUAAUUGUUGCAUAGAAGUUUUAGAAAUAAAGGAAUGGUAAUAUCUUAACAACAAACUCUUCUUCACCUAUUUGCAUGCUUCCUUCAUUGCUAGCAGCCACAAGAAGAACAAAAAAUAUAUAGAAAGCAAAGAUGCAUUCCCAUGACUAUUUAUUUAGUAAGUUGAACAUCAAAUGAAUGCAAAUACUCACCCUAUAUCCACUAAACUGAUCAUCAAAUUUGGGGGAAAAUUGUGCCUCCCCAACUCAUUUGCUCCCUGCAAAUAUUCACACAGAUAUUAACAACCACAACUGUGAACAGUACUUAAUCCAAUAGAGAAAAUUUGUUAGUAUAGUUUUUUUGUGUGCAUAUAACUAUAAAUUGGGAACCACUAGGUGUGGCAAACGGGCCGGCCGGAUUGGAUAUGGUUCGGGUUAAAAAUGGGUAAUGAAAAAAACGGAUUAAUUAUUCGACCCGACCCAUAUUUAAUACGGAUAAAAAAUGGGUUAACCGCGUAUAAUAUGGGUUACUCAUAUUAUCUAUGACUUAUUGUAUAUGAUCACUUUUGGGAGAAUUCUUAGUCUCUCUAACUUGAGGAACCCCAAUUUGAGGCUUUACAAAUGUAAAAGUUAGAUCCAUUGAUUAUCCAUUGGUUACUCAUUGGUUAUCCAUUUUGCCACCAUAAGCACCACCCAAAAAGCCAUUUAAGAUUCCCAAUCUGCAAAUGGAGGCAAUGAAGAAUAAACAAUAUACAAGAAAUUAUAGGGAAAAAAGCUUGUUCAGGCUUAGUACUAGAGAAAUCAAGAUUGAACUACUAAUUCUCGUUUCAUACAACAAAGUAAUUUAAAUAGAUUACAAAAGACAAAUAUAGGAAUUUAAAUAUAUGAAAAAACCCCUCCAUUUAUAAUAAUUGGAGAGAUUCCUAAUUCAUUGCUUUGAAUUUGGCAAUCUUUUAAAUUCUUGGCACUUAUCAAUAUAAAUAAAGAAGGGAUUUCCAUUUCACAGCCACACUAUAAUGAUGAAACUGAAAAGAACUAAUUUCGAUCAAGAAUCCUAGGAAAGAAAUGGGAACAAUCGAAAUUAAGAAAAUUAAAAAAACAAAGACUAUGGUGAUCAUACCUUGGCGAUUAUGUUUUUCAAGAGCAGGAGGGACAAGGGUUCAAGGGAUGGUUGGUUAGAGUGGGCAAGGAUUGGGGGAGAUGGAGCGUAUAGUUUUGGGGGAAAAGGGUUUGGAGUCUGAAUUUUGUAGGUUUAAGGAAUUGAGAGAGGCGUAAUAUUUUUCUUCUUUUUUUCGUUUAUCCUUUUUAUUUGUAACUUUACCUUUUAACUUUCUAUAUAUUUGCACCCACAAAGGAGUAUCCAAAUAAGGUAUAAGGCCAUACUAAAUUUUUAUUUCAGAAUUUUAUAGUUACAAUAUUUUAUUUCAAAUAGUUUAUCUGGGGCAAAAUGGUAACUUUUGCUAAAGUAAGCUUCAACUUGCGGCAAAAACAUAUGUUUAGCUAUGAUAUUUUAUCAUAGCAAUAAAUAUGUGACUAUGUCAUUUCGCCAUGAUAAUUAAUUGGAGUUGUUAAGCCAAUUAUUGCCACGGUCUUUUAUCAAUUGAAGAAAAAAAUAUUUAUUUA
Molecule: long non-coding RNA, 2869 nt
Filed under: Nicotiana tabacum (common tobacco)
Lineage: Eukaryota; Viridiplantae; Streptophyta; Magnoliopsida; Solanales; Solanaceae
Description: long non-coding RNA (NTAB_LNC004648)
Source: RNAcentral